UGCAAUUUAAUUUCGAUACGCAAAACUAAAAGAAUAAUAAUGCUUCAUUUAAUUGUUUAAUUCAGUUUCAUAUCUGUAAAUUAUAUUCAAAUAAAGCAGCAGAUAUAAAGAGUUAGUAGAUUUUUUCCACGAUUUAAUAUUUUAUCAAAUAAUACGUUCUUUUGUGAUUUGAUAUAAUUUUUUACUAUAUGGCAAACUUUUUUUAUGUACAGGCUACCUACCACACCCUGCAGCACAAUACUAUAACUAUAUGACUUCAGGUGUUGCUUUCGAAGGGGCUCAUACGGUGGUGUUUACCGACUUAGCUCUUAAACGUCUAGAAUGUAUAAAGGGCGAAGAACGUACUUUUUGGCUCUCUGAAGGACAAUAUACUCAUGCGUAUGAUGAGACGGAUACUUGGAUACUUGGAAACAGCUUCCGAGAUCCUUUCGUGCUACCCCACAGUGAUCUACUGGCGAAAUAACUCUGAAACGUCAGUUACCCGAUACAAUAACGGAGUGGGUAGGAAAAGCAGUAUGCAUUAACUCCAAGAAUGGACUCAGCAUUUCAGACACAAGCAGCAUUAUUGCUUUCCAGCCCUUUUUGCUUUCUCUCCAGAUGCCCGAUUCUGCAGCAAGAGGAGAAAUCGUGUCUAUAAUCGCCUCUGUCUUCAAUUACAUGCCAGAAUGUCUGCCGGUAAAAAUCAUAUUGGAGGAAAGCGUGGGUUAUGAACUCAUUUCGGAGCAACAGUCCAGCACGAUGUGCGUGUGUGAGAAUAAAAGUAAAAUACAGCGUUUCAGGCUCCGUCCGAUAAGUCUUGGUCAAGUGAAUAUAAUUGUACACGGAUUUUCAGUAGAUGAUGAGAGUAGAAUUUGUGGCAACAGAACCACUGCAAGAUUUAAUGCCACAGAUGUUGUUUUCAAGAAGCUUUUUGUUGAGAGAGAAAACGCUUCUGUAGAAAGGCGAUAUCAUUACAGCACCUCAACAGGAAUAUCUCACAAGUGAAGAAAAUCUGGAUGAAUGCGCUUCAGAAAACGGUGGUUGCGGCCAUGUUUGUGAAAAUGCAAUCGGCAGUUAUCAUUGCAGCUGUCACCAUGGUUUCUUGCUUGAUUCUAACGGACGAGAUUGCAAAGAAGAACCUUGUGAAUAUCUUGUGUCUUCGACUGAAGAAGUUGCUUCCAGCCCGAACUUUCCAAAUAAUUAUCCGAAUGGGAUGAAAUGUACAUGGAAAUUCGAAACUAUUCCAGGAUAUAGAAUCAAGCUGCUUGAGACUUUAUGAUGGAAACUCUAUCCAUGCGCCGUUGCUGGCAAGGUUCUGUGGCUCCAAGAUUCCUCAACCAGUUACAUCCACUACCCAGACUUUGCUUAUGGUAUUUGAAUCCGAUUCAUCUGUACAGAAACAAGGAUUCCGUGCUUUGCAUUCCACUGAUUCCGCCGGAGGUUAUAUCUUCUGGAAAUCGUCUCUUCAUCCACUUCCAUUCUGACGAUUCAAUUGAAGCAAAAGGAUUUGCUUUGGCCUAUUCAGAAAUCAUCAUGACUGAUCAUGACCUGACUGAUCAUUUGCACCUUCUAUGAAAGAUCAAAUUAGAACGGUCAAUUCAGAAAAUUUGUAAAACUUGUGUGAUGUGAAUAAUAAAUGUUACUUUGGAAAA
Long non-coding RNA from Stegodyphus dumicola, 1631 nucleotides. The record is from RefSeq and is a predicted model, not a curated record. Lineage: Eukaryota; Metazoa; Arthropoda; Arachnida; Araneae; Eresidae.